GGGCCGCACCUUCAUCCAGCCGUCGCAGACCAUCCGUCAGCUCGGCAUCCGGCUCAAGCUCAACCCGCUCAAGGAAGUCAUCCGAGGUAAGCGCCUGGUCGUCGUCGACGACUCGAUCGUCCGCGGCAACACCCAGCGCGCGCUGAUCCGGAUGCUCCGCGAGGCCGGUGCACUCGAGAUCCACGUCCGCAUCGCGUCGCCGCCGGUCAAGUGGCCGUGCUUCUACGGCAUCGACUUCGCGUCGCCCGCCGAACUCAUCGCGAACGGUGCCGAGGGCAGCGGCGUCAACGCCACCUUCGACGAGAUGCUCGAGGGUGUGCGCCGGUCGAUCGGCGCCGAUUCGCUCGGCUACAUCUCGAUCGACGGCAUGGUCGCGGCCACCGAGCAGCCCCGGUCGCGU
Molecule: unclassified non-coding RNA, 400 nt
Filed under: uncultured Ascomycota
Lineage: Eukaryota; Fungi; Ascomycota
Description: sequence contains ITS1
Source: RNAcentral